CCUACGGGAGGCAGCAGUGAGGAAUAUUGGUCAAUGGACGCGAGCCUGAACCAGCCAAGUAGCGUGAAGGAUGACUGCCCUACGGGUUGUAAACUUCUUUUAUAAAGGAAUAAAGUGAGGCACGUGUGCCUUUUUGUAUGUACUUUAUGAAUAAGGAUCGGCUAACUCCGUGCAACCGGCCGCGGUAAGACGGAGGAUCCGAGCGUUAGCCGGAUUUCUUGGGGUUAAGGGGAGGGAAGAUGGGUGGUUAGGUAAGUGGUAAACUUGAGGGGCGCAACCCCUUGCCGCAAUUGAAACUGGCGGUCUUGAGGGGAAGAGAAGUAGGCGGAAUGCGUGGUGUAGCGGUGAAAUGCAUAGAUAUCACGCAGAACCCCGAUUGCGAAGGCAGCAUGCCGGCUUCCGACUGACGCUGAAGCACGAAAGCGUGGGGAUCGAACAGGAUUAGAUACCCUGGUAGUC
This 459-nucleotide ribosomal RNA is filed under the name uncultured bacterium. Its description in RNAcentral is "partial 16S ribosomal RNA". It matches the Rfam family "Bacterial small subunit ribosomal RNA", at positions 338 to 795 of the family's 1533-position model. The record is from RNAcentral.